GGGGGCGAUCAUAGCAGCACUAAUGCACCAGAUCCCAUCAGAACUCCGCAGCUAAGCGUGCUUGGGCGAGAGUAGUACUAGGAUGGGUUACCUUCCGGGAAGUCCUCGUGUUGCACCCC
Molecule: ribosomal RNA, 119 nt
Filed under: Brassica oleracea var. oleracea
Lineage: Eukaryota; Viridiplantae; Streptophyta; Magnoliopsida; Brassicales; Brassicaceae
Source: RNAcentral